GACGAACGCUGGCGGCGUGCCUAAUACAUGCAAGUAGAACGCUGAAGCGAGGAGCUUGCUCUUCUUGGAUGAGUUGCGAACGGGUGAGUAACGCGUAGUUAACCUGCCUGGUAGCGGGGGAUAACUAUUGGAAACGAUAGCUAAUACCGCAUAAAAUGGAUUAUCUCAUGAUAAUCCAGUGAAAGUUGCAAAUGCAUCACCACCAGAUGGACCUGCGUUGUAUUAGCUAGUUGGUGGGGUAACGGCUCACCAAGGCGACGAUACAUAGCCGACCUGAGAGGGUGAUCGGCCACACUGGGACUGGGACACGGCCCAGACUCCUACGGGAGGCAGCAGUAGGGAAUCUUCGGGAAUGGACGGAAGGCUGAACGAGCAACGCCGCGUGAGUGAAGAAGGGUGUCGGAUCGUAAAGAUCUGUUGUAAGAGAAGAACGAGUGUGAGAGUGGAAAGUUCACACUGUGACGGUAUCUGAACAGAAAGGGACGGCUAACUACGUG
Molecule: ribosomal RNA, 497 nt
Filed under: uncultured bacterium
Lineage: Bacteria
Description: partial 16S ribosomal RNA
Rfam family: Bacterial small subunit ribosomal RNA
Source: RNAcentral